This is a non-coding RNA of Oryza sativa Japonica Group (Japanese rice), 409 nucleotides long. NCBI's taxonomy places the organism in Eukaryota, Viridiplantae, Streptophyta, Magnoliopsida, Poales, Poaceae. The record is from RefSeq and is a predicted model, not a curated record.
AGCCUGACCAAUUUAACAAGAAAUUCAAGCCAAAAAUUAGCCAAAAAAAUCUUGCAAAAGAACAGAACAAAUUCAGGGACAGUGAGAUUGAAAAAAAAAAGUGAAGAAAUCCAAACAGAAUGGCACAUUGCAACCCACAUUUCUGCAAUCUGCAUGGAGUUGCUACUGAAAGUUUCCAAUUUUUACCAUUUACCAAGGCAAAGUACAGGUUGCUGCUAUAGGUUAAAGCACAGCAAGAGAUUACUCCACAGAUGUGUCAUCAAGCUUCUUUCAGAAAAAGAGUAAUAGUAGGAGCAUCUGGGAUUAGCUGUCAAGAAGAGGAAGAACAUGCUAGCAGCAAGAAGAGCAUGCAAGUUAAGGAGAACUAAUGAAUGGCUCAAGUUCAUCACCAACGAAUGACCCUUGAAAA